This is a long non-coding RNA of Phyllostomus discolor (pale spear-nosed bat), 1282 nucleotides long. RefSeq lists it as uncharacterized. The record is from RefSeq and is a predicted model, not a curated record. Lineage: Eukaryota; Metazoa; Chordata; Mammalia; Chiroptera; Phyllostomidae. The transcript is spliced from 3 exons.
CAGAAUCUGAAUCUAGGCACCUAUUUCCAGAGUAUUUAAGUGCCCAUCUGUACCAAGUAUCUCUCCCUACAUUCUCAUGUCAGAAUUAAAGUUUUAAUUUUCAUUUCUGUUGGAGUCAUGAUAACUGGUCCCAGAACAUCCCUAGUGAAUUAGUAGGAAAAGUCAGGGAGAUGUAGGAAAGGCUGCAUUGCUGAGGGUCUGGUGGAUAGAGCCAAGACAUAGUAAGAUUUUGGGAGACUGGGAAUGAGCAAGGGUGUCUGGAGAGAAGUAAGGAGGUCAUGUGGAGAAUAAGUGCAUACAUGGGAUUUGGAAUCAGAUAGACUGAAGUCUGAAUCCUUGAAGCAACCAUCGUACACUAUUUGUAUGGCCUCAAGGAAGUUUCCUAAUGUUAGGUUCUUAAUCUGUAAAAUAAUUUAAAAUUUAUCUACCCAACAGUUUUUUUUUCUGUGAAAAUUUAAAAAAAAUUUUUAAAGUAUGGGAAGUGCUCAGUACUGUGUUUUUAUAGUACGAUCUUCUGGUACCAUCAAGUAGUGGUGAGUGAGUGGUAAAGAUUGAUAUAGUCUGACACCGGCAUCCCAAACGCUCCAUAACCGCUCUGUUUCUUUUAAUCAACUGGAAUGUCUCUUGAUCCUCUUCUCUCUGUGUUCCAGGUGCGGUUCCAUGUGCAGGCACGGGAGAGUUCAAUCAUUUGUUCUACGUAUUAUAUCUGAGGUCCAGUCACCAGCCCUGUGUGGGGACCCUGAUUGCCCCUCAGUGGGUCAUAACAGCUGCACACUGCUUCUUACCAGAUCUCCAGGUUAUCUUACAUGGCGGUUCUCGAAGUUUCCAAGACGCCACUGGGGAGAUGAUACCCUAUAAGAAGAUCUUCAUCCACCCAAACUUCACUGUCACAUCUCCCAAAAAUGACCUGAUGCUGAUACAGUUGUCUGUGCCUCUCACCUUCUUCUCCGCGGACACUUUGCACUUACCUGCUCCUCUGAAUGAUGAAGUUAAAGAUUGCGUGAUUCACACCUGGUUACAGACUACAGAUUUUUUGGGGAAUACAGGCAGCACCCUGUACAGCAUGAAGAGUCGAUUGGAUCCUGAUUUAGACUGCAUGAGAUUGCUGGAUGGAAAGUUCCUUCCAGGCAUGUUCUGUAUGGGAAACACACUAGGCAGCAGAGACCCAUGCCAGGUACCUUUCCUCGUCUCGUUCGCCUACAGGCUCUGCAGCUUGCUUCUGUCUUUGUGUCUGUGACCUGUCACCCUUCGUCCAGGGUGUGGGAUAUACAGUUAGUUUAGA